This 71-nucleotide transfer RNA is filed under the name Neotoma lepida (desert woodrat). It matches the Rfam family "tRNA". Rfam says of the family: Transfer RNA (tRNA) molecules are approximately 80 nucleotides in length. The record is from Rfam by way of RNAcentral. Lineage: Eukaryota; Metazoa; Chordata; Mammalia; Rodentia; Cricetidae.
UGGGCUGUGGCUCAGUCUAGAGUGCCUGCCUUGUAUGCACAAAGCCUUGGGCUCAAUCCCCAGCACCCUAA